CCUACGGGAGGCAGCAGUGAGGAAUAUUGGUCAAUGGCCGUAAGGCUGAACCAGCCAAGUCGCGUGAAGGAAGAAGGAUCUAUGGUUUGUAAACUUCUUUUAUAGGGGAAUAAAGUUAUCCACGUGUGGAUAUUUGCACGUACCCUAUGAAUAAGCAUCGGCUAACUCCGUGCCAGCAGCCGCGGUCAUACGGAGGAUGCGAGCGUUAUCCGGAUUUAUGGGGUUUAAAGGGUGCGUAGGUUGUUUUUUAAGUCAGCGGUGAAAGUUUGUGGCUCAACCAUAAAAUUGCCGUUGAAACGGGAGACCUGAGUGUGGUUGAGGGAGGGGGGAUUCGUGGUGGAGCGGGGAAAUGC
Molecule: ribosomal RNA, 353 nt
Filed under: uncultured bacterium
Lineage: Bacteria
Description: partial 16S ribosomal RNA
Rfam family: Bacterial small subunit ribosomal RNA
Source: RNAcentral